GUUUACUUCAUUUUUCCUGCUUCCCUCUCCAGCCUGGGAUUAUUCGCUCAGCGAUGUCAAAACUCCCAAGUCUGACGUCAUGGCUGUUUCCACAGCAACCAAAUUGAAUCAAGGACCGAUUUCAAACCAGAUCAAUUUGACCUGUGUUACAGUGUCCACCCUUUGGGGAUACAGGAGAAAUCACUCCAGCAUUAUUCAACAACCUGGGCAGCACAUGGGCAUCUGAGCAGUAUCUGUUCCUCGCCUCCAACGCUUGGACCCGGAUGGACGGAGUGAAUGGGGGUAGGAUGCAAGGAAAGGGAUGCAGACCUGUCAGCUCACCUCCUGUGCAGCAAAAAUCCUCUGUCUGGCCUUUUCUAAUUCUGAUCUCAGGUGUGAUUAUUGAGUCCCAAAAAACUUAUUGGCACUGGAUUUACUCUUGAUGUAUUCUGCAAGAGCUGCAUCAGCAGUAGUAGGAUUUUUAGCCUAAUUAUCAGAGGUGUUUGUAGAUACAAUUCAUGUCUCCAGAAGGAUGUUAAUAAUAGCUCUGAGUGAUGAGAAACAACACAGAAUGCUGCUGCCAGCUCUAAGGAACAGUAGGGUAAACACAAAAUCCUAAAUUGGGCAUUGUCUUAGAAAUUGCUGCGAGACAGGCCUGGGAAGCAGCAUUUUCCAAGCAUUUCACACUGGAGGUCAGUGGUGUUUUCCCUACUGCAGGCAGGGAAACUGAGGCACAGAGCUGGGAGCAGCUGCCGAAGGUGGCUCAGCCUCCCUUCAGCAGAGCUGAGGGUCAGAGUGGUGUGUCCUGAGCCUCACCCCUGAGCUGCUGACCAGGUGCUGCUGCUGCUGUUCCCUCCUGAAAGUCAGACCUUGUAACUCUCUCUGCUGCCUGGGCAGGAGUGGAAGGAUCACCAGGUUAACAAGCUGCUGUGCACACUCAGGUUGAUGGUUCUGAAGCCAGGAGGACCAUGCUGAGACACAAAUGAGCACGGGAGUGUAUUGAAUACACAGUCCCUUGUCUCCUGAAAGCUGGGAUAUAGGUCUAUGGUCCAUCCCACAGAGUAGCUGAAUGAAUGGUCCUUAACUCCUCCUUUCAGUCAUUUUUGGUUGCUUGCCACAGACAGCUUUUCCCACAUCUGCUGUGUGAAAGACAGCUCCCAGUUCUACAACUGCUAUGCUUUGGGGUUUCUUUUAGGAAAAGGUCCCCAAUAUCUCAGCUGAUCCAUGUCAGCCAAGGAGACUUUUUCUUUUCAGCAAGUUGUUACAAAGGUAACAUUGCAGGGCCCCAAACCAAGGCCAUGGCACUCACAGGGGCUUUCAAGGGAGACAACCUUGUUCUCACUGGGAAAAACACAUUUUCAUCCCCUUUUUUAUGUAACUUAUGUGUGGAUAGACUUUCCCCAUUGUCCUUUUCCUUUGUAGCAGAGCAAGGCUUGGAUUCCAGGCAAGGUUGUCUUCUUAUUUCAUAUGAAG
Molecule: long non-coding RNA, 1452 nt
Organism: Myiozetetes cayanensis
Lineage: Eukaryota; Metazoa; Chordata; Aves; Passeriformes; Tyrannidae
Exons: 3
Source: RefSeq, a predicted model, not a curated record